UACGAAGGGGGCUAGCGUUGUUCGGAAUCACUGGGCGUAAAGCGCACGCAGGCGGAUCGAUAAGUCGGGGGUGAAAGCCCGGGGCCCAACCUCGGAAUUGCCUUCGUUACUGUCGGUCUCGAGUCCGGGAGAGGGGAGUGGAAUUCCUAGUGUAGAGGUGAAAUUCGUAGAUAUUAGGAAGAACACCAGUGGCGAAGGCGGCUCACUGGCCCGGUACUGACGCUCAGGUGCGAAAGCGUGGGGAGCAAACAGG
RNAcentral lists this ribosomal RNA (253 nucleotides) under uncultured bacterium. RNAcentral describes it as "partial 16S ribosomal RNA". It matches the Rfam family "Bacterial small subunit ribosomal RNA", at positions 524 to 776 of the family's 1533-position model. The record is from RNAcentral.